AACGAUCAGAUACCGUUGUAGUCUUGACUAUAAACGAUGCAGACUCGCGGUAGGGACCUGUCCCUUUAGACUCUCCCCAGAGCCUAGGGAAACUAAAGUCUUUAGGUUCUGGGGGGAGUAUGGUCGCAAGACUGAAACUUAAAGGAAUUGACGGAAGGGCACACAAGGAGUGGAACCUGCGGCUUAAUUUGACUCAACACGGGAAAACUCACCAGGUCCGGAUACACGGAUGAAAGUCAAGCUGAAAGACUUUACUAAAUGAUGUAAGUGGUGGUGCAUGGUCGUUCGUGGUUCGUGGAUUGAUUUGUCUGGUUAAUUCCGAUAACGAGCGAGACCCCAGCGUUCUAAAUAGGGGGCUUAGCCAAAUGGUGUCGCAAGACGCCAUUAGCUUCGCCCUAUCCCAAACUUCUUAGACGUAUCAGAGCCGACGAGGUUCUUGAAAUGGGUUAAUAACAGGUCAGUCAUGCCCUUAGAUGUUCUGGGCCGCACGCGCGUUACAAUGGCAUGUA
This 509-nucleotide ribosomal RNA is filed under the name Physarum javanicum. RNAcentral's name for it is "SSU rRNA". It matches the Rfam family "Eukaryotic small subunit ribosomal RNA", at positions 1003 to 1512 of the family's 1831-position model. The record is from RNAcentral. Lineage: Eukaryota; Evosea; Eumycetozoa; Physariida; Physaraceae.